UUGUUUACCUAAUCUUGGAAGCUUUCAUACUGUGGCUUUCUAUUUCCUUAUGCCUUGUUAACCCAUAGGUGUAAGCUCAGGGAAUUCUAAGCUUAUUCCCCACAGUUAAGGACUUUUUU
Long non-coding RNA from Lynx canadensis (Canada lynx), 119 nucleotides. RefSeq lists it as uncharacterized. The record is from RefSeq and is a predicted model, not a curated record. NCBI's taxonomy places the organism in Eukaryota, Metazoa, Chordata, Mammalia, Carnivora, Felidae. The transcript is spliced from 3 exons.